GGAUACUCUCUGCUCUGCAGCUCCAUGGUUCUCUACGAGUGCCAGUCUGGAUACAAGCUGCUGGGCUCUUCAUCAAUCAGCUGCGACCUAAACACCAGGAAGUGGAGACCGACACCACCAUCCUGCCAAGAUAUAAAUGAAUGUGAAGAAACCGUUUCACCAUGUCCUAAAGAUAUGAGGUGCCUUAAUACCCCAGGUUCCUUUGUGUGUGUAGAGCCAACCACACAAACCACAGCCUCCAUCAUCACUGCAGUCAUUGUGGUCAUUGGUGGUGUGGCCCUUUUGGUAACGACGAUGA
This 298-nucleotide long non-coding RNA is filed under the name Neogobius melanostomus (round goby). RNAcentral's name for it is "lncRNA (ENSNMLG00000024665.1)". Lineage: Eukaryota; Metazoa; Chordata; Actinopteri; Gobiiformes; Gobiidae. The record is from RNAcentral.